This 124-nucleotide microRNA precursor is filed under the name Hordeum vulgare. RNAcentral's name for it is "microRNA MIR1122". It matches the Rfam family "MIR1120/MIR1122 microRNA precursor family". The record is from RNAcentral. Lineage: Eukaryota; Viridiplantae; Streptophyta; Magnoliopsida; Poales; Poaceae.
AAACUACUCCCUCCGUCUUACAAUUCUUGUCUUAGAUUUGUAUAGAUAUGAAUGUAUCUAGUCAUAUUUUAGUAUUUUGAUACAUCCAUUUUUAAAAAAAUCUAAGAGACGGAGGAAGUAUUUG